CUCAAGAAAGCAAAGCUGGGAGAGUUCUGGAUGAUCUGAACAUGUGUAACCGACAUCAAUAUUAGGUUGUCGCUCUCAGCACAUAGAAGAAUGAGACAUUUCUACUGGAUUUAAUGUAUUUUUUGAUAAUGGAGAGUGACAAGACUCAGGAAUCUUGUGCGUUUCCAAGCGCUGGAAGGGAAUAAUCUUUCCUGGGCAUGGACUCUCCUGGCCAUCCCUGCUCAACCUUGACCCUUCUGUCCCAUCCCUUUCAAUGGGUCUCUGUCCCAACCCUGUCUCUUCUCCACCCCUGGUUUCCUGAUCCUGUUGCGUUUUCCCUGCUCACCCCAAACCAGUUUAUGCUUCUCUUCUUCAUCAUAGAGUCCUUAGACCAGAAGUGGGCAAAAUACAGCCUGCGGGCCAGAUCUGGCCCACCAAAUUACUAGAUCUGGCUUGUGGCUGCCCUGCAGCACUUUACAUGGGGCCAAGUCCCACCCAUUCCCACCAGGGCAGCCUGCACCCCACUCCUGCCCACUCCUACUCAUAGCCUGCUGCACUCCCGCCUGCGUGCACAGCUUCCAGUGGAGCUGUUCCCAGUGCUGUUCUGCACCCCUCACCUCCAGCAAGAGCCACCCAGCUGAAGCUUCCCACCUGCCUGCCCAGAGCAGCACAGCAGGGGCAGCAGCAGGAGGAGGAUCUGCCACUGGAGGUUAGGCGCUGGGCCUGGGGCUGGUAGAUGUAUAGUACAGGCUGUCCUGGGUGGGGCUCAGCCCAAUGUGGAGCACCACAGGUCCAGCACCAGACUACACCGUCCAACCGAGCUUUGCUGCACUCACCCCCCCACCUUCCCCUCCCUCCCCUCGCUGCUGGGUGACUUCCAGGACCUAGCACCCAGCCAGGCCUCCCACACACACACGUACAUACACCCCCAAAACCCUCCCGCCACAGGGCAGGGUGUGAACAGUGUGGAUCAUGCCUCAGCCCAGGCCCCAGCCCAAAGCUGUUGCUACCCUGUGACCUAGUCCCAUGAUCCCAGGCUCCCCUGCCCAUCCUGCUCCUGAAUACUGCUUUCCUCCUGCCUAAACCCCCAUAGGGAGUUUUGGUGAAUUGUUGCAGGGAGGCCAGUGGUGGGGUAGGAGGGUUGUGUUGCCGACCUGGCCUGAAUCAGCUCAUCAAAAUUCCCUAUGUGGCCCUUGGGCCUAAAUAAAUUUCCUACCUCUGCCGUAAACAAAUCUCAUGUCCCUCUUGAAAAUACAAUCUCCCGUCAGACUCUCUCAUCUCUCAGUGUCUCCGCAUUGAAUCCCAGUUCCUUUGCCUAGCCAGCCCCAGUUCAACCCUCAGCUCCUCAUGCAAUUUGUCAUUCCCCUUCUGCUCUGCACUGGUCCCAAAUCUCUUUCCCUUGGUUUCUCACCCAUUCUCAGUCUCCCCCAGAAUACAACUAGUUUUACUUCUCCCUUUGUAUGUUAAGUAUUUCUUAGCUCUGUAGCUCUCAUCCAUUUAAACUGUUUCCUCCCCACUAAUCUCCUUGUGCAGCCAGUUCGUUUCGCUUGUCCUCACAGCACUUCAUUCAGUACCACAGCUUCCUGGCUCCCCUGGUCCUCCUAGCCUCUCCCUCCAAUUCCCAAUUAUAUGUUCUGUCUCUACCACUCAAAGCUCAUCAAUUGCUUGCCAAUCUAUAUUCAUUUCACCUGGUUUGGCUUUUUAUCCUUCUUGAAUUUAAAUAAGAUGGGUUAAUCCAUGGUGCCAAACAUGAAGUGCAUGUUCUUUGCAGUCUGUUUUGGGCCCCAGCCCAACCCCAACCCCAGCCCAAAGCAUGUGGAACAGCCAUUACACAGAAAGUCUAUCUUGAGCUAUGAGCUGAAGCAGGCUUAUUUGGUUUGUGAGGAUGCACCCUGUCACGGCAGGAUCCUGCAGGAGGGCCGUGAUCUCCCUGAGGUCCCUCGCACCAUGCCAAGGCCAGCCCAAGGUACCCUCUUAUUCUUGCCCGCCACGUCUUGCUGGUAAAUAGAAUAGGGAGGCUACCUUACUCCUCCUUGGGCAUGGCUACUCGGGACCUCUGUCCCCGCGGUUUUCCUGGACUCUUGUGGUCACCCCGUAUGAUGGGUGCUACUCCGGCACCCCAGCCUUAUGGGCUACGCGUGGCUCCUACCAACCCCUAAUACCACACCCCAAGCCUUGCAGAUGGGACAGACGUUGUCCGGUCAAAAUACACACCCGCUUUCUCGGGUCCUCCUCUAAUCUAGCCCGCUCUAGGGCCUUCUCCGUAUGCCUCUAUGCUAUUGCCCCAUUCUGGGCUCUCACUGGGUCCACUCUGGGCUCUCUAAUACAGUGCCCCUCACUGGGACUCUUAGUAACACCGCCCCUCUCUUGGGACUCUUGAGGCCCACUCUGGGCCUUCUCUAAUCUAGUCCACUUUGGGACGUCCUCUCGAGCCACCGGUCUUUUAGGCCCACCGCAAUGCUAACCUCUCGUUUGCCAGGCGCACUGUGCUGCUAUCCCCUUUUCCUGGGGACCACCACAGCACCGCCCUUCUCUGGGGCGCUGUGCUGCUAACCCCUUUGGUCUGAGUCCACCGCAGCACCCUGCCCCUGCCCUGGGUUUUCCAUAGUGCUAGCCUGUUACCGGGCUCACUACGCCUGUCCUGGGCUUCUCAAUCUUGCCCCCCUUGGGCCUCUCACAUAUUGCCCCCUUGGGCCUCUCAAACUUUGUCCUUCUUGGGCCUUGCAAUGGUCCCCCUUCUCUGGGACCUUCCGGGCCCCGCUGGGCUCCUUAAUAAUACCGCCCCCUGUUUGGGGCUAUCUAUGCCGACCCUGGGCUUCCUACUAAAAUCACCCCUCUCUCUGGGACUUGCUGUGCCCACACUGGGCUCUUUAAAUGCCCCUCUCUGGGCUGGGGUCUACACACCCCACAAGUUGCACCCUUACUGGCGUCAGGGUCCUCGCACUCCUGUGAGCCCCCCUAUGAAUACUGCACCCUCUUGGCGCUAGGGCCCCACCCCUCUGGGGUCCCUAUGAGGAUAAUGCGCCCUCUUGGUGCUAGGGCCCCACCCCUCUGGGGUCCCUAUGAGGCCUCCUCCAACCCCUAAUAGCCUCACCCAAACCACCGGUCUAAUAUCACAAACACAACUUCAAGCCUCCUGGCUAUAACUCAAACAGAACCCAAAGCCGCCUGGCUAUAACUUAACAUCAUUGCUUAACUCCACUCGAGCGGUACUUGCUGUUAGGCUUCUCUCUGCAUCCUAACUCCAGGAGCUCCUGCCCCUCUGGCUGCUAGUAGGCAACUCCUAGCUUGGCCUUGGCUCUAGGCUUUAUAGGGGCCAGGCCCUGCCCCCUCAGGAUCAGCUGACUCUCAUUAGUUGCCCUGGCAACCUGCAGCUGUGCUCAUUAUCUCUGCUGAGGCUUUUCCCCAGCAGUUCUCCCCUCUCUAGGAGUGGGGCAGCGAGGUGCGCUGCGACACACCCAAAUAUGUGAGCUUUAUAUUACUUAUAACAAAUAGUUGAGGAUUUAACAUGGGCUAAGCAAUGUGUUUUUCCUUCAUAUUUUUCUCAGAAUUGGUUAAACUAUUUGUCUGCAGUUCUCCAAAAAAAAUCAUUCUUAGGCAGAGACUGAGCAUGGAAACUUUGAAUCUAAAUAGUUAGUUUUCAAUUUAUAAGAAAAUUAAAAUGGAGUCUUAUAAUGGGAAGUGUUGAGCAGCCCUGCCUACAACAUAGGUUUUUGGAUUGGCCUCCUCACUUGUUUCUGCAUGCCUUCCAAUCAUGAAGUUACAUGGUUGACAUCUGUCAUAUGUGGUUCAUUCCCUCUGCUAUCCUGACGGGGCAGGCAGACCCAGCUGCGGUCCCCAUGGGGCAGUAGAGGUAGAGUGGAGAAUAACCCUCCUUCCUGCCCUCUCUGCCUUGGGGCCAUGUAGGUCUGAUGUUGCAGCAAUGAGGGGGAAGCACCCAGCAGACUCGGCUUGGGUCCCUGCCGGUGCAACAGGGAGGGACGAAUUAAAUCCCUCUCUGGUGAGUUCUGCCCAGGCUGGCCAUGCCCCCUCCCCUGCCCCAAGCACAGCUUCUCUGCAACCCAGGGUGUGCUCUAGCACCCCCUGACACCUGGCCUGAGCAACUGCAGGCAUGUGCCCAUAUUUCCUCAGUCCACAAGGAAUGCCUGUGCUGUUACAAAUUGGUUCAACCUGGGCAGGUUAGACUAACCGGCAAAGAUUGCAUCAAUUCAGGCUCCGUUUUUUUCAUGUCUGUCCCUAGCCCAUGAGUUCUGAUCCUCUUCCUGGAGCCACUGCAAGGGUUCAAACCAUUCCCUAAAGUAUUACUGCCUUUUUCAUUCUUACCUUUACUAUCAAAAGACUCAGCACUCUCUUACCCCUGAGCCAACUUACACUCACUGUUCUGUCCUCUUCCUAAAUUGGAGUGGACUGGUAGGAGCAGUAUAACCUGCUAUCAACUGGUAGCAGCAAUAAUGGCUAAGUAGACCUCCAUGCCUUCUGCAUAUUGAGGGCACCUGAAUAUACUUCAUCAUACCAGCUCUUCUUGAGAGUGAAUACAAAUGUUGAAUAAAAGUAAAAAGGGAACUGAUCCUUGUGGGACUCUGAAAGUUUCAUGGCAAGAGUUGAACAUCUGUCUCCAGCAAGGACUGAAAAUAUUUAAACAUGUUACCUUUGAAUGCUUCCACUUCUCUUAUGGGUCAACAACAGUUUAGAUGACCUGUGAAAGUCCUAGGAAGGUAAAAUGAGAAAAUGAGUUUUUAGUGUCUAUGACAUUGUCCAAAUGAGUGCUGACAUCUCCUAGCAUGACCAGCCUGUGGUACUCCACUACUGUUGCCAGCAAAGUAUCAGUGAUUUCUAUGAUCACUCGUUUAGUCCUUGGCAGCCUGUGAGUAAGUGUUGCAGCGCACUAAAGUGCCCUGCUCCUAGAAGAGCAGGAACUGCCUGGGGAGAGCAGCUAAGGAGAAAAUUAGUCUGCACCUGCACCUGGCCAGAAGGGGCAGGGCCCUGUGCCCAUAUAAACCCCAGGAUGGGGAGUAGGCAGUCCAGUUCUCCACCAACGGCCAAGGGGGAAGGAGCCCUCAUGGAGUAAGUGAAGGGAAGAAGCCUAAGUUCUGCUCCCAGUAUCAGAAAGGGGCAACGCACACCUUCUACAGUUGGUGUUAUGUUAUAGCUCAGGGGAUUAUGUUUGGUUGUAGUUUUAUAACACUGGUGGUUUGGGCAAGGCUAUUUGGAGAAGGAGGAGGCCUCAUUGGGGGCCCACUGCAGUGUGGGGACCCCAGUGCCAGAGAGGGCGCAGCACGAGGGGCUGCAGAGAGCCCAGGCACCAGUGAGGCACAGCAACAGGGCUGCAGGGAGCCCAGAGAGAAGACAAAGGGGUCAAUCACAGCAAGGCCUAGACAGGACGUCGGUGCCAUCUGCGAGGCUUGGGGCAUAGUAAAGGGGCGGUUGGAGCCACGCAUAUAGCUCAUAAGGCUAGGGUGCCCCCAAAACACCCAUUGUGAAACGGGACCUACAAGGGGUCUGGGAACCCACAGGGUUCAGAGAGUCCAUCAAACAGUGUCCAAGAGGACUUAAAGGCAGCUUGCCUAUUUUUAUACUUCCAUCAAAGACGUGGUGGGCAAGAAUUGAGGGUGCCCAUUGAGCCAAAUUGGCAGGGUUGAGGGGCCUUAGGAGAUCACGGCCAUCCUUGAGGACCCCAUCCUGUGACAGUAAGCAUACAAUCUAAGUUAGUUUUGGCUCUGGUUUCUAUUAUUGGUGAAUGAACUUUACUUAUAUGACUUAUUGUUGGAUCUGAUAUUCAAAGAGAAGAAUAUUGUCCUUCAUUACAUAGUGCUGAAUACAAACAGCUUGUCCAAAAAAUAAAAUAAAAUCAGAAGCAACAAUGUUCUGUAAAAAUUUCUGUGAUAUCUGGUGACUGAGCAGAAAUUACAUUCUGGCAGUCUUAAAUCUAGUUUCAUGGCUGAAGGACACUUCAAAACCAUAUUGAUUCAUGUCCUAAAUAAUAAACCUUAGAUACAAAUACUGGUUAACAAUCUGACUGAUAUGCCUUCACCUGAUAAAAAUCUUGUGAUUAAUUUAAAGCGAAAUAAUUGUUUGAUGAAGAAAUUGGGAAAGCGAUAAAAGUGAACUGAUAGUGCAUAAUGUAUCCACUGAUAAUGUUGAAAGUGUUCUACAUUUAAUUGAUGGUAAUAAUUUCCUCUCUCUGCUCACAUUCUGUAAAUAUUCUAGAAAAAUUUUUGCAAUUCUCCCAAAAAGCUAACUUUCAGAUAAAAUUUCUGAAUAAAAUAGUAUUUCCUUCAGGAAUGAGAAAUAUGACAGUAUUUACUUUUUUUCCAUCUCGGUGUUUAAGUGGGUUUAGAAUUAAACAAAACAAGCUUGUUUAUGUCUAAUUUAGUACAUUAUAAUAAAAAUAGAUAGUUAACUGAUGGUUCUUUUAUCUUUCUACUUUUCUGGAGAGUGUGCUUAGUAGUUUGGCAAUGUUAAAUCCUGUACAAAUGCACACAAUUCAUAAUUUAACAGAUUUGAAAUCUCAGUAUGUUUUCAGUUCAUUUCACUCUCUCAAAGAUGUUUGCUUAUUGGGAUUUAUACAAAAGAAUAAGACUAUCCAUGCACGGCCCUAGGCACCUUACUAACUGCAGUGCAAGUAUUAUAGUGAUUGUCAGUCAACGACAAUUUCAGCUCCAUUAAGUCUCUCUGCUCUGGCUUUGCCAAGCAACAAAUAAGCAUAGACAAAUCCCUCAGAGCCAUUCCAACUACAUAAUUCCUAAUGCCCCCAGUCUCCAAAAUUUAAGGAGAUAAAAUGGGCUGUAUAGAAGAUAAAAAGAAUUGAUCAAUCUGAACCUGAGGUGAGAGGCAUGGGGUAAUUUCCAAUGGAAGAGUAUUGCUGAGAAAUUACUUUCGAAGUAUGCUAUGGAGCCUCAAACAUGAGCAAGGCUCUUGCAUUUUUCCUGGACCAUCAUGACUAUAACAUCAUCCCGAAAACAUGGGACAUUGUAACGGGGCCAUGACUUCAUGGCCUAUUGUAAAUUACCUAAUCCCUGUUAAUCUCUGCACUCCACAGGGAAUAAUGACUCUCUUGAAUGGUCUUCCUCCUCGGUUUAUCAGGUUAUCCUUUUUACUGCAUUUCUCUUGUUUCUAAGAUACCUGAUAAUCUCUCUUGUAUCCUGAUUUUAUUUAAGUAUGGAAUUCUGUACAAUCCCCCCCUUUUUAAAAACAAAACAAAACAAAACAAAAUAGUACCUGAAAGCUUGCUUAUGUCCUUCCUAGCUAUACCAGUUGGUCCAGUAAAAGAUGCGAUCCACAAGAAUCUUCAUCUCAUGCAUUUUUCCCGGAUCAUCACAGGUGACCUAAACACUACAACCAAGACACUGGAAGCCACAUGUGACUGAGGCCAGAAGAUUUUGUAGUCCCAUCUGUAGUCACAGGCAGAGAGUAGCCAAUGGAUGGACUUUGACCAAAACCUGGAAGCUUCUGGAGCCUUCUUCACCAGUCAACUUUUUGCAUAUGUUCAUCUUGGAUUCUGUUACCAAUUACGUGUUGUUUUUCACAUUCCAGUCUGUUUCUCUGUCUUAGGUUGUACCAUCUUCCAUACUUGUUUUGGGCCUUAGGUUGUACCAUCUUCCACGCUUUUUGGGGGGCCUCUCUAUCUUAUCUCGUUCCUUACUGUAGCUGGGUCACAGAUUCACUUGCUGCUUUUCUCUCAGAAAAUGGGAGACACAGUUAAGACGGUUACUUAGCAUAAGCAAAUAGCUGGCUUAACUAUCAUCCUGCCUUGUAGUCAGCAGCUCUGCUAGGCCACAGGUUAAAUCCUUUGUAUUCAACUGCAGAUCCAGUGCUUCUUAAUAAUCCAAAUUAUUGUCACCCUAACAGUAAACAUAACGUAGCAGGCUAUAAUGCUGGUGCAGCCAGAAAUUAGUGAAUACAUUCACACCUCUGAGAUCCUAAUUCAGCACCUUCUACAAGGAAUGAAUUAAAACAGAAUACACUUUCCUUAGUCUGUAUAGCAGUGUGAGAUCUCAAAUAACAUUGCCCCUUGGGCUGUUUGUUCUUAGUACCUUAGGAUGUUAUUUUAUUGUUAAAGGCUUAUCAUCAUUCAGUCUUAAAUACCUUGGUGACAAGCACUUAAUCUGAAAUAUGAAGAGAAAUGAACCAAAAUGAUACUUUCAGUUUUAGAGACAAUGCUUAAAGUUCUCAAAAAUUCCACAAUAUUUUUAUUUAAACAACUACAGCCCUCAUUUUAUUUCUUCAAGUGUCUAGGAAAAGAGAAACAAAUUAAGCUAUAUGCUUAAGUUUACAUAUUUUAUCAACCCUGUUAAUAUUUAGCAUUUUAAUAAAAGAAAGACUUAAAAUA
Long non-coding RNA from Alligator mississippiensis (American alligator), 8308 nucleotides. RefSeq lists it as uncharacterized. The record is from RefSeq and is a predicted model, not a curated record. Lineage: Eukaryota; Metazoa; Chordata; Crocodylia; Alligatoridae. The transcript is spliced from 2 exons.